This 253-nucleotide ribosomal RNA is filed under the name uncultured bacterium. RNAcentral's name for it is "partial 16S ribosomal RNA". It matches the Rfam family "Bacterial small subunit ribosomal RNA", at positions 524 to 776 of the family's 1533-position model. The record is from RNAcentral.
UACAGGGGGUGCAAACGUUGCUCGGAAUUAUUGGGCGUAAAGCGCGCGUAGGCGGCUAUCUAAGUCGGAUGUGAAAGCCCCUGGCUUAACCGGGGAAGUGCACCCGAAACUGGGUAGCUAGAGUGCAAAAGAGGGUCGCGGAAUUCCCAGUGUAGAGGUGAAAUUCGUAGAUAUUGGGAGGAACACCGGUGGCGAAGGCGGCGACCUGGGUUGACACUGACGCUGAGGCGCGAAAGCGUGGGGAGCAAACAGG